RNAcentral lists this ribosomal RNA (641 nucleotides) under uncultured bacterium. RNAcentral describes it as "bacterial SSU rRNA". It matches the Rfam family "Bacterial small subunit ribosomal RNA", at positions 1 to 635 of the family's 1533-position model. The record is from RNAcentral.
CCCUUAGAGUUUGAUCCUGGCUCAGAGUGAACGCUGGCGGCAGGCCUAACACAUGCAGGUCGAACGGCAGCACAGCCCCGCAAGGGGUGGGUGGCGAGUGGCGGACGGGUGAGGAAUACAUGGGAAUCUACCCUGUCGUGGGGGAUAACGUAGGGAAACUUACGCUAAUACCGCAUACGACCGAGAGGUGAAAGCGGCGGACCGCAAGGCGUCGCGCGAUUGGAUGAGCCCAUGUCGGAUUAGCUAGUUGGCGGGGUAAAGGCCCACCAAGGCGACGAUCCGUAGCUGGUCUGAGAGGAUGAUCAGCCACACUGGAACUGAGACACGGUCCAGACUCCUACGGGAGGCAGCAGUGGGGAAUAUUGGACAAUGGGCGCAAGCCUGAUCCAGCCAUGCCGCGUGGGUGAAGAAGGCCUUCGGGUUGUAAAGCCCUUUUGUCCGGAAAGAAAAGCUUCGGGCUAAUACCCCGGGGUUCUGACGGUACCGGAAGAAUAAGCACCGGCUAACUUCGUGCCAGCAGCCGCGGUAAUACGAAGGGUGCAAGCGUUACUCGGAAUUACUGGGCGUAAAGCGUGCGUAGGUGGUUUGUUAAGUCUGAUGUGAAAGCCCUGGGCUCAACCUGGGAAUUGCAUUGGAUACUG